GACGAACGCUGGCGGCGUGCUUAACACAUGCAAGUCGAACGGGAUCCGGGCUUUCGGGUUUGGUGAGAGUGGCGAACGGGUGAGUAACACGUGAGUAACCUGCCCCCUUCUUUGGGAUAACGUCGGGAAAUCGGCGCUAAUACUGGAUAUUCUUGCUGCAUCGCAUGGUGUGGUUUGGAAAGGGUUUCUGGUGGGGGAUGGGCUCGCGGCCUAUCAGCUUGUUGGUGGGGUGAUGGCCUACCAAGGCUUUGACGGGUAGCCGGCCUGAGAGGGUGUCCGGCCACACUGGGACUGAGACACGGCCCAGACUCCUACGGGAGGCAGCAGUGGGGAAUAUUGCACAAUGGGCGCAAGCCUGAUGCAGCGACGCCGCGUGAGGGAUGACGGCCUUCGGGUUGUAAACCUCUUUCAGUAUGGAACAAGGAUCCUUCGUUUGGGGGGUUUGAGGGUACGUGCAGAAGAAGCGCCGGCUAACUACGUG
RNAcentral lists this ribosomal RNA (481 nucleotides) under uncultured bacterium. Its description in RNAcentral is "partial 16S ribosomal RNA". It matches the Rfam family "Bacterial small subunit ribosomal RNA", at positions 28 to 507 of the family's 1533-position model. The record is from RNAcentral.